GACGAACGCUGGCGGCGUGCUUAACACAUGCAAGUCGAACGGAAAGGCCCUGCUUUUGUGGGGUGCUCGAGUGGCGAACGGGUGAGUAACACGUGAGUAACCUGCCCUUGACUUUGGGAUAACUUCAGGAAACUGGGGCUAAUACCGGAUAGGAGCUCUUGCUGCAUGGGGGGGGUUGGAAAGUUUCGGCGGUUGGGGAUGGACUCGCGGCUUAUCAGCUUGCUGGUGGGGUAGUUGCUUACCAAGGCUUUGACGGGUAGCCGGCCUGAGAGCGUGACCGGCCACAUUGGGACUGCGAUACGGCGCAGACUGCUACGGGCGGCAGCAGUCGAGAAUCUUGCACAAUGGGCGGGAGCCUGAUGCAGAAACGCCGCGUGCGGGAUGACGGCCUACGGGUUGUAAACAGAUUUCGACUGUGACGAAGCGUGAGUGACGGUAAUGGGUAAAGAAGCACCGGCUAACUACGUG
This 468-nucleotide ribosomal RNA is filed under the name uncultured bacterium. Its description in RNAcentral is "partial 16S ribosomal RNA". It matches the Rfam family "Bacterial small subunit ribosomal RNA", at positions 28 to 507 of the family's 1533-position model. The record is from RNAcentral.